This 483-nucleotide ribosomal RNA is filed under the name uncultured bacterium. RNAcentral describes it as "partial 16S ribosomal RNA". It matches the Rfam family "Bacterial small subunit ribosomal RNA", at positions 28 to 523 of the family's 1533-position model. The record is from RNAcentral.
GACGAACGCUGGCGGCGUGCUUAACACAUGCGAGUCGAACGAUGAAGCCGGAGCUUGCUCCGGUGGAUUAGUGGCGAACGGGUGAGUAACACGUGAGCAAUCUGCCCUUGACUCUGGGAUAACUGCGGGAAACUGUAGCUAAUACCGGAUACGACACCUUGGGGCAUCCCAGGGUGUGGAAAGAAUUUCGGUCAAGGAUGAGCUCGCGGCCUAUCAGCUAGUUGGUGAGGUAAUGGCGCACCAAGGCGACGACGGGUAGCCGGCCUGAGAGGGUGACCGGCCACACUGGAACUGAGACACGGUCCAGACUCCUACGGGAGGCAGCAGUGGGGAAUAUUGCACAAUGGGCGAAAGCCUGAUGCAGCAACGCCGCGUGAGGGAUGAAGGCCUUCGGGUUGUAAACCUCUUUUAGCAGGGAAGAAGCGAAAGUGACGGUACCUGCAGAAAAAGCACCGGCUAACUACGUGCCAGCCGCCGCAGUAA